This is a long non-coding RNA of Equus caballus (horse), 5956 nucleotides long. RefSeq lists it as uncharacterized. The record is from RefSeq and is a predicted model, not a curated record. Lineage: Eukaryota; Metazoa; Chordata; Mammalia; Perissodactyla; Equidae.
CGGGGUCUGAGGGUCAGCGUGGGGCUAGGAUGGGGGCCUCUGGAUCAGGGUGGGGCCAGGGGUGGAAUCCUGGGCUCUGCCCCCAGCUCCCUGUGUGACUUUGGGCAGGUUGCUACCCCCACCACUCUGGUCCUUGGUUCAUAAGAUGGUUGGGUAGGGAGGUGUGUGGGAAAUGCUUUUGGUUUUGAUUAUAAAAUAUCACUCAUCUAAAGCACAUCUAUAGGCAACUUAAAGAAAAGAGAAAGAACGCCUAUGUUAAGCACACCUGGCUUAAGAAAUAACGUUCCCAGGACCUUUGAAGCCCCUACAGGCACUGCCCCAUCCUGUCCCCUCCCCAGAGGUAACCGCUUUCUCAAAUUUGGUUUUCCUCCUUUGCUUUGCUUUGCUUUCUAUGUACAAACCCCUCGGACAAUGCUGCGUUUGUUCUGCACGUCCACAGAACGGAGCUCCAGGCAUUCUGAGAGUCGCCUGCACUGCCCAGCACGUCGUCGGGGACCCGUCCACAUAGACGAGGGCACACAGGGUUCCGCGUGUGCCGUCCCUCAGCGUACUCACCCUGUCUCCUGUUGAUGCAACUUUGGGUUGUUUCUACUUUGGGGUCUUCCUCGGUUCUGAUCUAUUUUUGCUGUUUUGCCCCCGCCUCGUGGUGCUCGUUGCACCGCUGUCUCCCGGUUGCACAUCUUGGAGGAAUUACUGAGUCCGGGGGACAUGUGCCUUCACCUUGCUGCACAACAUCAAAGUUACUCCCAAGGGGUUCUUCCUAUGUCCAUUCCCACAGCAGAAGAUAAGUGCUUUCUGUCCGGUAUCCAUGAUGACACUUUGUUUCCUCAGAUCUUUUCAUUUUUGCUGGUCCAGUCAUUGUGAAAAACAAAACCAGACAAACCAGCAAAAUCUGACAACGAAUGGGGUCGGGCUUCUUGCAGAAGCUUGCGGGUUGUGACUCUCUUCUGUGAACGCUUAUCCGUGCACUCGCCCACUUUCUUUUGGGUGGUUUGCUUUUUUCUUGAUGAUUUGCAGGAUUGUUUACUUAUCCGAGGUACAAUUCCUUCAUCAGUUGCAAGAACUGCCAAGACCUCUUCCGGUUUGUGGCUUGCCAUUUGACUUUGUGUAUCGUGUCUGGGAAUGGCCAGAAGUUUUUACUAUUAAUGUACUCAAAUUGAUCAUCUUUUUCUUUGGUGCCAUUGACUUUUUAGCAACAUGGCUCUUUGUCCAAAAGAAGCCGCAUAUGGAUCCCAACAUAGAAUGCCCUCCCCCUUACAGGGCCAAUUUUUUUCCUUAAAGAAAAUUUCUUGGGCAAAUUAUCAUAAACCAAAGACCUCAUGGCCAUGGAGAUUAAUGUUACACAUUUUCAGUAGUUAAUAAAAUAAACAUAUAGUGCUCAGUGCUUUAAUAAUUGAAUCUUUUGCAACAAGAACAAAACCCAGAAAGGUUAAGAGAAACAAAAUCAGUGACAGUAUGGCAAACGCCACCCAAGGGUGCCAGUGCACGGUCACAACCUGGUCAGCACACGCUGCGAGGCCGGGCUCCAGGAUGGCUCUCCUCUGUAGCCGCUUUUUUAUUCUUCCAGAUAAAAUUAAGUUGAUUCCCUUUACAAAAUGAUUCUUUGCUUUGCAAAGUAAUUUCAGAAUAUUGGUAAAUAACAAGUUCUGGUUAUGCACUUAAAAUGCAGAUAUAUUUUUAAUCCAAGUUUCCAAGGAAAGUAACUUAGUAAAGCUUAGUACUUGCCUUAAAUAACCAAUGUAGAAACAACACCAAAUUCACAGUAUUUGGAAUGUUAUAGGACCUUGGAAUAUUUCAAUCCAAUUUCCUCAUUUUAUGAAAGAGGGAACUUCUGGAAAGAUCCAGCUUCUGGAGAUCUCGAGAUGGGGAAACCCACAGCAGGCUUCCAGAAGAUAAAGAGCUGCCUGGAAGCAGAGGGACGUAGGAAGUGAAGCCCCUCCACUUAGAUAGGCUGCUCACACGUGGACGGCUGCACGCAGCCGGCUCAGUCUGAGACCUAGAUCCAGGGACCAGUCCCUGCGGGUGCCUGACCUCCUGCCCCCUGGGCCCUGCUCGUGGGCCUGGCUUGGCAGGCCACCUGUGCCCAGUGCCCUUUGAGCCUGCCCUGCCUCACCUCCUCGACCUUCCCAGCAGCAGCGGGGCCCCAGCAGGAGGUGAGGGUCCCUGCCAGCACCCCCUUGACUUGCCUUCCACCUGGGUCACAUCCCAGCUGUCUGCUAAAAUCUGGAUGUGGCCAUUUGUCCUCUAGCCCGAUGGCUCAGCUUCCCUGUGAUGCUUGCCUGGAUGGGGGCCUGUGGAGGGUGGCGAGGGCACUGCCCCACGGGCCCCCCCAGCUUUUCAGCCUUGAGGCCUGAGCCCAAGGAGCCCGGGCCUGGGAAAGAAUCCAUGAAUCCUGCUUCCCCAGGAAGCCCCCUCCCAUGGCUGUUGCUGGUUCUUCAGAAUACUCCUUCCUGCUCUUUCCUACCGUCCAACCACACUGGGGCCACAGACACUCGGGCCCCUUCAUCCCUGUUCCUCCUUUUUUUGCCUCAUGUAGGAGAUGAAAUGACACCUCAGACCUGGUCCCGGAUGUUACCCAACCAAGUUUGUUUUGCCGGCUGCAUGAUUACCACACUCACCGAGCCACCGAGUUUGCAAAGAGAAAGGAUUUCAUCACAAGACAGGCAAGCGAGGAGACAGGAAAAUCAAUCUCGGAUGGCCUCCCUGAAAAUAGGGACUCAGGGAUAUUUAUGGGGCAGGGGGCAAGGAGGUCUGAAGUGCGGGGAUAGAUGACUGGAGGUGAGGAGAGCGAGGAAAUUGACGAUCUGCGCAGGCGUAGUCCAGCUUCAUGGCUCCUCACAGGACACAUGUUCACAAGAUGGCCGCAUCACCAGGAUUUGAGGGGGGGGUUUUCAGCUCCUUGACAUCAAAAAGGUCACUUGCUGAGCACUUGCCCUGCCCCGGCUGAUGGAUUGGUGGUCUCAACCGGCCUGAACUGGACAAGGGGCCUCAGUUCUCAAAAAAUCACUCAAUUCCUCAGUUGCUAAGAUGGUCAGUUGAACUGGCCCUGGAGGGCCGCAUCUACAUGGAUACUUCCUGGGAAAGCAGACACACAGGAGGGCUGGGGUGUCUGUCUAGAGAGAGGCUGUAAGGCCAAGCAGCGCAGCCUCUGGGGACCAUCAGCCACCCUUAGAAUCCUAGUCCUGCCGCUUACUGUCUGUGUGACCUUAGACAAUGACCUUCGCUGCUCUGUGCCUCAGUUUCCCUCUCUGGGAGAGCAAAAUGAAACGGUGUUUUCUCUAGGGCUCUUCACAUAGUUCCUGGUGCCCUGUAAGUACUUGUAGGGGUCGGUAAUUAUGCUCUCACAGAGCAGGAUUACCAGGGCUUUGCACACGGACCGGGCUCCCCGGGAGAGAGUGACUCCAGUGCCUGUCAUAGCAAGGGCCAACCCAGCCCCAGCCAGGCGGGCUCUCCAGAGACAGACGCCCCCAGGCUGACUCAUCCCACCCACAGCCCUGAGGUCUGCGCUCACCUUCUCCUUCUCUCCCCUGCCCUGGCUUCAGCUCGGAUGUCGCCCGCCCCCCACCCUGACUCCCACCCCAGAGGGAGGGCAGAUCCAGCCCACCUUGAGCCCCUUCCUCUCUCCCCUCAGCCCAGGGUGGGGUGCGCACAGCCCGGUCUCUGGCAGGACUAACUCUAGUGGAGUCCAGAUGGUCCAUCCAAGCCGGGAAUGUUCAACUUCCUGUUUUGUUUUCCGCCGGCAGUUCUAAACCAGAACUUUCUUUCCCAUAAAAAGUAUUUCUUCAGGUUACUGACUCUGUCACGCCAGUCUGAAAACCAGGGAAAUUUGAGACAGUUUUUAUUUGGAUCAAAAUUAAAAUGAAGACCUGCCCAAGGAAGCAGCGGAGGUUUAAAGGCCUGGGCUGGCCCGGGAUGGGGUUCAAGGCCCCCCUGAGGCACUAGCCGGCUGCCUGGCUUGGGGCAAGGGGCUCAGGGCCUCACUCAGUUCCCUCCGGCUUAAACAGGAGUAAAGACUUCUUCACUAACGGCUUGUAGAGACUAAACAAAGCGUUGCAGGAAACGGUUUCUAGCACACAGCCCGGUGUAGGAAAACACUCGACGUCCACAGAAACAAAACGUCUCCGGAGCCCAUGCCCCACCGAGAUUUCAGAGCCCGGUCAGACCAGAGAGCAGGACGAAGUGAGAAGGAAAAAUUCAUGAGACAAAAUUCAGGAAUUUUCCACGUCUUUGGAAGAACCACGAUUUGGACAAAGAAUGUGAAAUAUUCACCAACCUAUAAGAUCACCAUGACUCAUGGGGAAUUUUCUGUGGGAACUUAAAAAAAUGGAUGUGAUGCAUAUUGCUAAGAGAAAGAAGCCACUCUGAGAAGGCUACCUACUAUAGGAUGCCAACUCUAUAACACCCUGGGAAAGGCCUAACCAGGGAGAAAGAAGUGUGAUGCAGUGGAAAGAAUAUUGGAUCAGGUGACAUGGAACCCUGACAGGUCAUCACCAAUAGCCAAGUGGCCCUGGGCAAGCCCUCGUCCUCUGAGCCUUGUUUCCUCAUCUUUGAAAGGAGGGCGUCAAGCUACGUCAUUGCUCAGCUGUGAAAUGCUCUGACUCUACUAGAACAUUUCGGAAGGAUGAACUAGUGAAAGUCAGAGCUUCUCAGGAAACAGCCCUGUGACUAAAGCUCGGGGAAUGUGCCCUGCAAGCAGUUUAGUUCCAGGAACACCAGAGAGUAUAGAAAAUGCCAAAUCUCCCGGCCCGGGUCACCUUGACCGGCUAAUUCCAAUUUCCUCCAAAUAUCACUCGGGAGGCAACAGCAACCGAAACACUAAACCGCCUCUGGUCCCCACCAGCUGGUGGGGGUUUCUUCCCUUCUUGGCUCGACCUAGGAACUCAUAUUUUAUUCAUGAAAACGGAGGCCCUGGGAGGCCUCGGCAUAAACAGGAUGUAAAUAUUUGCGGGUGGUGGGGGAGAGGUGGUACUUGAACAGAGGCUGUACAAAGUGGGGACCUCCAGGACAAUGCUCACUUGGGGCCCGCCCACCUGCAUCUCCUCUGUAGCUUGGGGAGGGGGGCACGUGCAGGCUGUACCCCAGAUGGAGAUGGAUUUGGGACUUCAGUGCCCUCCAAGUGAGUCUGGCUGUUGCCUAACCUUCUGCUGCAUCCCAUUUGCCUGUUCGUUGGGGACCCUUCAUCCCCCUUCCUCAGCCUGAGACUUCGAUUUCUGGCUCUUGCAGAAGUGCCCGGCCUGUCUCCAGCCCCUCCCCUCCCCUUCCUGCACCUGGCCACUCCUGUUUCAGCUGUGUGGAGUUCCCCGCCAUCCCCAAACGGGCCCUUCUCACGGUGCUGUCCCUUUCCUUAUCUCCAGUUGCUCCGCCUGGCAUGACUUCCCUCUGAGCUCUUCCACUGGUCUCUAAGACCCCUCCAGAUCUUUGCAGGGGCCACACCCUUUCUGGAACCCCGGCCACCUCAUCUCUUGGGCUCUCCAAGGAGAAUAACUCCUGCUCAGCUAUCAGGGCCUGGCCUGGGUGUCACUUCCUCCAGGAGACUGUCCUUGAUGCUUCCCACUCCAAAUCUGGGUUCAAAGUCUCCCCUCCCCCACCCACGGCCUGAGCUGAAGCCCUUCCUCGUAUCCCACACUGAUAGGGCCCAGACUCUUCGGUCCUGUUCACUAAAUAAAUACUUUUUGAAUAAAGGAAUGGAUGGACGGAUGGAUAAAUGGAUGAAGAUGUGACUCAAUUAACACCUGUGUCUGUGGCCAUGUCUGUUGCCACCACCCCCGGAUGGAACCCUACACUUCGGCGCAUCUGCUCCAAGGACAUCAGACCCUGUCUUUUAGUGCCUUACACACACUCCGCCAGCCUUUUGUUUCUGCUUGUCUCUCCCCCGACCCCCACCACACAGCCUGUGCCCUGUAUCACCGCACCGAGGACAUUUCCUGGAAAAUAAUAAAUUUCAGUCUUGGUGGAA